RNAcentral lists this ribosomal RNA (333 nucleotides) under Triticum aestivum (bread wheat). RNAcentral describes it as "partial small subunit ribosomal RNA". Lineage: Eukaryota; Viridiplantae; Streptophyta; Magnoliopsida; Poales; Poaceae. The record is from RNAcentral.
AUAAAUUCAUGAAGCCUUGAGAGAAUCAAAAAGAGGAGGGAAUAGGAUGAAGAUGGCAUGAUCCUCGUUAUUUUGCCAACAUUGUAUGAGAUCCUUAUUAGAAUCGACCAAAAAUAGUGACAUAGCUCAGUCCUGUAUGGCAAGAGGUGUGUUCAUGAAAUCCUUUAAGACCAUGUAAAGAAUUUCCUGGUAGCUUUUAGGAUGGAGCCGCAUAUCUUUAGAGCACUGGCAUCAUAUUUUAGAAGGGGAAAUUUGAUGAAGGACACGGUAGUAAAGGUGGAGGAGAAAUUAUGCUUUUUUCCUUUACAUGUUGUCUCACAACGUAUCUUUUGA